GCUGGGUGUGGUGGGGGCGCCUGUAAUCCCAGCUACUGAGGAGGCUGAGGCAGGAGAAUCACUUGAAUCUAGGAGGUGGAGGUUGCAGUGAGCUGAGAUCACGCCACUGCACUCCAGCCUGGGUGACAGAGUGAGACUCUGCCUCAG
This 147-nucleotide non-coding RNA is filed under the name Chlorocebus sabaeus (green monkey). The record is from Rfam by way of RNAcentral. Lineage: Eukaryota; Metazoa; Chordata; Mammalia; Primates; Cercopithecidae.